RNAcentral lists this ribosomal RNA (403 nucleotides) under Alternaria alternata. RNAcentral's name for it is "eukaryotic LSU rRNA". The stretch from base 35 to 188 matches the Rfam family "5.8S ribosomal RNA". Lineage: Eukaryota; Fungi; Ascomycota; Dothideomycetes; Pleosporales; Pleosporaceae. The record is from RNAcentral.
UUGCAAUCAGCGUCAGUAUAACAAAAUCAUUUACAACUUUCAACAACGGAUCUCUUGGUUCUGGCAUCGAUGAAGAACGCAUCGAAAUGCGAUACGUAAUGUGAAUUGCAGAAUUCAGUGAAUCAUCGAAUCUUUGAACGCACAUUGCGCCCUUUGGUAUUCCAAAGGGCAUGCCUGUUCGAGCGUCAUUUGUACCCUCAAGCUUUGCUUGGUGUUGGGCGUCUUUUGUCUUUGGCCUCGCCCAAAGACUCGCCUUAAAACGAUUGGCAGCCGGCCUACUGGUUUCGCACCGCAGCACAUUUUUGCGCUUGCAAUCAGCACAAGGACGGCAAUCCAUCAAGACUACAUUUUUACGUUUGACCUCGGAUCAAGUAGGGAUACCCGCUGAACUUAAGCAUAUCAA